AUUGAACGCUGGCGGCAUGCCUUACACAUGCAAGUCGAGCGCGAAAAGGGGGCAACCCCGAGUAGAGCGGCGGACGGGUGAGUAACGCAUCGGAACGUGCCCAGUAGUGGGGGACAACCUCGAGAAAUCGAGGCUAAUACCGCAUACGACCCACGGGUGAAAGCGGGGGACCGCAAGGCCUCGCGUUAUUGGAGCGGCCGAUGUCCGAUUAGCUAGUUGGCGGGGUAAGAGCCCACCAAGGCGACGAUCGGUAGCUGGUCUGAGAGGACGACCAGCCACACUGGGACUGAGACACGGCCCAGACUCCUACGGGAGGCAGCAGUGGGGAAUUUUGGACAAUGGGGGCGAACCCUGAUCCAGCCAUGCCGCGUGCGGGAAGAAGGCCUUCGGUU
Molecule: ribosomal RNA, 392 nt
Filed under: uncultured bacterium
Lineage: Bacteria
Description: bacterial SSU rRNA
Rfam family: Bacterial small subunit ribosomal RNA
Source: RNAcentral